CAAACCCCGAAACAAUCUCAUCGCGAGUUUCCUUCGAGUCUCUCUGCGUAUACAGCGAAUCUCUGAUCGCGAUCAAUCUCGAAGGAGCGAACGGAACCGGCGAAGAAGGGGUGUGGGUUGCGCGCGAGACAGACGAUUUGUCAUUUGCGAUCGGUCCGCGCCGACUAUCAAACGGCUAUCAGGGAUCCCGGGUGUCCGAUCGUGGUGCGCAAGAGUACCCGCGUCCUCACCGAGAGAAGAACCGAUCGGCGGGGAUUGGCGAACGAUCGGGACAGGGAUCGACUGGUCGACCGGCCUGUCAGUGACGCGCCGGGGUUGCGAGAGCUGCGUUACGUCUUCUUUCCUAUCAGGGAUCGAGGUCGAGGUCGCCGCUGAGGUCGCGGUCGAGGCGAGGUUGAAGGUCAGCCAACCUACGCGCUGCACGAGGUUCGCGGUGGAAAGAGAAGCCUCGUCGGUAAAAAGAACUUUGGCGAAAGAAGUGCUACACGUAAAAAUACAUAGCGGAAGAAGCUUAUUUCCGAAGGAAGUGCCUAAGAUGCGUGCUCUCCAGUGUUGCGUUUGGUUCGCGCUGCUAAUGGCAGUGUCGGCCGUGCCGGCGUCGUCGAAAGGACGUCCGGACGAUCCGAUCAGAGGGAAAAAGACCACGCCGAUCCCGCCAAUCAGCGGCAACAAGAUCACCUCGCCGAUUACCGCAACGACGUCGCGACCGAACGCCACGCUGCCGUAUGCGAGAAACGCCACGUUGCAUUUAUCGUCGCCUUCCUUCUCGCCGCUUUCCUCGACAAGAGCGUCGUCCGCGACGACGGCGGCGGCGACGGCCGUCACAUCCCCCACGACGAUGCUCAAGCUGCCGUCGAUCUCGCCGUCGACGACAACGACGACGACGACAAGGGCGACGACGAGGACGACGACGAGGACAUCGAUCGCGACAUCGGCGUCGACGGCGAGUCUCGCAUCAAACGCGACACCCCAGGGCGAUCCGCAGGGCGACGGUAGAACGGCCGUCCCCGCCUUCACCGAGACCUCCCCGAGGAUAAUCUCGCCGACUCAACAUACCGCCGCCACCGUGCUGUCGUCGAGAAAAUCAGCAGCCUCCGCCACCGCGGCGGCGGCGGCGGCGGCCGCCUCCGCCUCCGUUGAUGUCACGACCACCGCACCACUGACGUCGGCCAAGGAGACGCGAGAGUCGCCCGGAAAGAUCCGACCGCAAAUCAAGCUGACGACAAAUUACACGAGCGAGACAGGAGUACGAUUGCCGGAGGGGGCAAGCGCGGCUCUCGCGAAACCAACAAAGUAUCACUACUAUCCGCACAAUCAGCAUAUCUACCUGCUGCCGGAGUGCGCGGUUCAGCAAGUGUGCAAUGCUGUUUAUGUCAGAUUGAACUUCACGCAACCGUUGUGCGCUUGUCCCGGAAGGUACCGGGACCCUUGCAGCGCAUCCUUAGAUAGCGAUGACCUGCACACGACCGAGCUGGUCACCGAUCCACGAACCAAGGCCUUGACCUUAGUGAAAACGUGCGAGCCGGUUGCCGAGAUGCGAGAAUGCAGAGGAUCAAGAGACUGGUCCUUAUUGGCACUACAGAACGUGCGUACAGGAAAAUCUCAUUAUCUUGUGAUAUGCCGAUGUCCCGAUACAAACAUACUCGAGGGGCCUAUGAGUCACGAUCAACCAACGUACGCGAGCGUUCCGGGCAUUCGAGUGUACGGAAUGAUGUGCGUGCAAGGAAACAGAAGAGGACGACCGCUGCGAUAUGCGCGCAGUAUUUUCGACGGACAUAUAAGGGGUGAGGAGGAGAAACCGCGCUUCCCUUGGCACAAAGUGCGACAGCUCAUGACAACGCCGUCUCUCUGGGAAUAGCUUCGACACGCGAUGUCCCACUCCACAUCUGCCAUCGACGAAUUUACACGUUAAUUUAUAAUGCUAUAUUUAUAAUUUUCCGAGCCAUUCAGACCACCCUUUGCUCUCUUCACUUCCCGCGUCUUUCUCACGCUUCCUUGAUUCUCGGAAUGAGCGCGCGCAGGGAUGCGAGUGAUCCGAACGAUUGAUAUCAAUUAAUUCCGUCCUAUUCCCCUGUUUCUCAUUAAAACGCUUAUUAAAUUGUUUUAGCGUCGCCGUGCGCGGUGACGAUUAGAAAGAGGAAGAUUGAUUUCGAAAAUGCACGCCGGCACAUUCGUUGCGCGAGAGUUACGAUGCGAUACGAUGAAAUCGUCUACGCGGCUUGUACUAUCAUCUUUAAUUAUUCAUCUUAAUUAUUCAUUCGAUACGAUGAAGAAGACAAACGGCUUUGUCGUUUAUACAACAAUGUAAAGAGCUGUUUGAUCGUGUGUGAUUUUAAGAAAGAAAUAAGGAUAGGAAUAUAUAUGGUACCUGAGUCUCUGACACACGCACACAUCAUCCUACAUCAAGUUUUUCUCUCAUUACUCUCGAGUAAGAAAUUGACAUACAUUUGUCAAAUUACUGUACGUAUAUCGCACUCGCGCUUACUUUUCUCAAUUCACUAGAAUUCAAUUUGUAGACGACCAGUGUAAGAUAAUUUUUUUUUUAGGCCACACUUUUGUGACUGCGAGAUUUGAGGAGAAAAUUAGCGAUAUAUAUGUUCAAUCGCAUUUAACGAUAUAUAUAUAUAUAUACGAGAUGCAUCUCUCAUUAUUAUACGAAAUGCAGUACAAUGACGAGAACGACUGAUCGGUAGUAUUAUUUA
This is a non-coding RNA of Linepithema humile (Argentine ant), 2702 nucleotides long. Lineage: Eukaryota; Metazoa; Arthropoda; Insecta; Hymenoptera; Formicidae. The record is from RefSeq and is a predicted model, not a curated record.